Molecule: long non-coding RNA, 422 nt
Filed under: Elaeis guineensis (African oil palm)
Lineage: Eukaryota; Viridiplantae; Streptophyta; Magnoliopsida; Arecales; Arecaceae
Description: long non-coding RNA (EGUI_LNC000785)
Source: RNAcentral
GACUCAAGGAUGAUAUUGUUCUUGGUGAACUAAAUAUGAUAUGCAAUUAGAUAGCUUUGAUGCCUAACAAUAUAGAUGCCUUGGUACUAGCACUCCAUCGCAAGUCCUCAAGGAAGGACUACAUCGGUGUCUUUGACUGGAAAGCUACCAAGAAGAAGUUAGUCAACUGCUAAAUUUGCAUAGCUUUCAGGCAAUGAAACAGAACGUGCCUCAAAGUCUCAUCCUCUAUCCCAUAAUAAGGAUAAGUAGAUAAAAAAUCCAUACCUCUAUCUCUCGGCACCGAUCUUAUUGAAAGGCUACUCCAAUCAACCUUCCAAAUAAAUAAGCUCAUCAUUGGAUGUACUCCAAAUUUCUAAAUUCAAGUACCAUCCAACCUCUUGAUUGACUCUGUCUUGUACAGGUUGUAGAGGUUCCUAGCCACG